UAUGAAUGUUCUGUGAUGGUUGUAUGAAUGUUCUGUGAUGGUUGUGUGAAUGUUCUGUGAUGGUUGUAUGAAUGUUCUGUGAUGGUUGUGUGGAGGUUCCUCCCAAUACAUUGAGGUUGACAGGUCUUCUCAGUGUUCUCUGACCCUGAGGUAGUGUUAGGGGUCAGGGUUAGGUAGGGUUACUGAGGUAGUGAUAGGGGUCGGGGUUAGGUAGGGUUACUGAGGUAGUGUUAGGGGUCAGGGUUAGGUAGGGUUAGUGAGGUAGGGUUAGGGGUCAGGGUUAGGUAGGGUUACUGAGGUAGUGUUAGGGGUCAGGGUUAGGUAGGGUUACUGAGGUAGUGAUAGGGGUCAGGGUUAGGUAGGGUUACUGAGGUAGUGUUAGGGGUCAGGGUUAGGUAGGGUUACUGAGGUAGUGUUAGGGGUCGGGGUUAGGUAGGGUUACUGAGGUAGGGUUAGGGGUCAGGGUUAGGUAGGGUUAGUGAGGUAGUGUUAGGGGUCGGGGUUAGGUAGGGUUAGUGAGAUGGGGUCAGGGUUAGGUAGGGUUAGGGGUCGGGGUUAGGUAGGGUUACUGAGGUAGGGUUAGGGGUCAGGGUUAGGUAGGGUUACUGAGGUAGUGUUAGGGGUCAGGGUUAGGUAGGGUUAGUGAGGUAGGGUUAGGGGUCAGGAUUAGGUAGGUUAGUGAGGUGGGGUCAGGGUUAGGUAGGGUUGGGGGUCAGGGUUAGGUAGGGUUACUGAGGUAGGGUUACGGGUCAGGGUUAGGUAGGGUUAGUGAAGUAGGGUUAGGGGUCUGGGUUGUUUGUUUGGUAGGGUUAGUUUGAUAGACAGGUGUCAGAUUUAGUGUCUGAGCCUGAACCAACUGACCUCUAAACUCUAACCUCUGACCUGGAAGUCUUAUGAAUAGCUCUCUGGCAUUGCUGUCUGACCUCGUACCCGACAGGAAGUCUGAGGUCUUACGCAAAACACAACUCUGUCCUCCAGACU
Long non-coding RNA from Oncorhynchus keta (chum salmon), 981 nucleotides. RefSeq lists it as uncharacterized. The record is from RefSeq and is a predicted model, not a curated record. The transcript is spliced from 3 exons. Lineage: Eukaryota; Metazoa; Chordata; Actinopteri; Salmoniformes; Salmonidae.